UGGGGAAUAUUGCACAAUGGGCGCAAGCCUGAUGCAGCCAUGCCGCGUGUGUGAAGAAGGCCUUCGGGUUGUAAAGCACUUUCAGCGGGGAGGAAGGCGAUAAGGUUAAUAACCUCAUCGAUUGACGUUACCCGCAGAAGAAGCACCGGCUAACUCCGUGCCAGCAGCCGCGGUAAUACGGAGGGUGCAAGCGUUAAUCGGAAUUACUGGGCGUAAAGCGCACGCAGGCGGUCUGUCAAGUCGGAUGUGAAAUCCCCGGGCUCAACCUGGGAACUGCAUUCGAAACUGGCAGGCUAGAGUCUUGUAGAGGGGGGUAGAAGUCCAGGUGUAGCGAUGAAAUGCGUAGAGAUCUGGAGGAAUACCGGUGGCGAAGGCGGCCCCCUGGACAAAGACUGACGCUCAGGUGCGAAAGCGUGGGGAGCAAACAGG
Molecule: ribosomal RNA, 429 nt
Filed under: Chloroflexota bacterium
Lineage: Bacteria; Bacillati; Chloroflexota
Description: Chloroflexi bacterium partial 16S ribosomal RNA
Rfam family: Bacterial small subunit ribosomal RNA
Source: RNAcentral